RNAcentral lists this ribosomal RNA (529 nucleotides) under uncultured bacterium. RNAcentral describes it as "bacterial SSU rRNA". It matches the Rfam family "Bacterial small subunit ribosomal RNA", at positions 980 to 1509 of the family's 1533-position model. The record is from RNAcentral.
CUUGACAUCCAGCGAACUUGGCAGAGAUGCCUUGGUGCCUUCGGGAACGCUGAGACAGGUGCUGCAUGGCUGUCGUCAGCUCGUGUUGUGAAAUGUUGGGUUAAGUCCGCAACGAGCGCAACCCUUUAUCCUUUGUUGCCAGCGAUUCGGUCGGGAACUCAAAGGAGACUGCCGGUGAUAAACCGGAGGAAGGUGGGGAUGACGUCAAGUCAUCAUGGCCCUUACGAGUAGGGCUACACACGUGCUACAAUGGCGCAUACAAAAAGAAGCGACCUCGCGAGAGCAAGCGGACCUCAUAAAGUGCGUCGUAGUCCGGAUCGGAGUCUGCAACUCGACUCCGUGAAGUCGGAAUCGCUAGUAAUCGUGGAUCAGAAUGCCACGGUGAAUACGUUCCCGGGCCUUGUACACACCGCCCGUCACACCAUGGGAGUGGGUUGCAAAAGAAGUAGGUAGCUUAACCUUCGGGAGGGCGCUUACCACUUUGUGAUUCAUGACUGGGGUGAAGUCGUAACAAGGUAAGCGUAGCGAG